AUUUAAGGGUUGGCAGUGGAAGCAAGGACUCCUUUCUGGAUAUUCCUGUAUACCUGAGUCCUGCUGAAGGAUGAGUCACAGCGAGGGACAGGAGGAGCUGAUGAGCAGCCUGCUGGCACACACAGGGCAGGCACACACAGAUCCCACCCCAGUGACACCCAAGGGAUGCGGUUCCCAGCUGGCAGAGAGGGAAACGCAGGAGCUCAAAGCCCUCUGCAAGGGCUGAGCAUCCUUUGCUGACUGUGGGAGCUGAGGGCCUUUUGCAGAUUGCUCCUUCGGGCCCUUUUUAGUUUGGGAUUUCCCUCACAUGCGCUCCAACUGCAUCCUUCUGAAGGGGCUGAGAGCCCUGCAAGGCAUGGGAUGCCAGCAGGUAAUGAACCCUGCUGCUGCUUACACACACACACACGCUCUGUUUUCAGACAGGAAGUGGUUGGUGAUAUAUCUCUCUGCAGCACUGGGUGUUCUGCUGUGUCCCAGCUCCCUGCCACCUCCCCACGUGUCUGCCCACUGCUUUGGCACCAACACUGUGCAGAGAGGGAGGGGACAAUGUGUGGGGGACGGCGAGGGGCUGGGCAGAAAUGAGAUAACACGGGGAUUGAUCUGUCCAAAGGUUAAGGAGCUGAACUUAUUUAACUCCUGUUAGCUUAUUUAUUGUCCCUGAGUUAUAUUUGUGACUACGACUGAGCAGAUUACCGCAGGAUUGCUGGGUAGAUUUAGAAACCCGGGGUGCUUUUCUAGCUCUGUGCAUGUGUUUGUGUGCGUGCGCUGCUGGCUGUGAGCAUUCCCCUUCCCCACUGCCAUCAGGGAUGAAUGUAAGCACUCAUCUGUACAUCUAGAGGCAGAGAAAGGGGAGGGGGGGGGGGGGGGGGGGGGGUUUGAAAUCUUGCUCAUCAGAUCAGAAGCUAAAUUUAUGCUGGGUACAACAUAUGCUCUUUGUUAUACCAUGAAAGUGGUGGGUAAUAAUUCCUCUGUCCUCAGAAACAGGGACACUUACUGCAGUAAAAACAUAUAGAUAUAUAUAAAACCCUCCCACUGGUGGUAAACACAUGCGUCAUGCGUGAUUGCUGGAAGCUGGAGCUGGUAAGCACUGGAUGGGGAUGAGUAAUGUUUGUUAUGGCCCUGUGACUGCCAGGCACUCGGUAGCAGGAGCAGCACAGCAGUGGCAUAGGGCCCAGGAGAGAGACCAAAGUCUCAUCCAAGCUUGGCUGCAGGCUCUUGGCCUGAUCUCUAUGGCCUCCCCACCUCCCCUGGAGCCCCGUGGCUGUAUGGGGCUCACUGCAGGAGUUGGAGGAGUGGGAUGGGUGUCUCCGAGGGGGGCAAGGUGUGUUGCUCAGAUGGUUGGGUGAACGUCUGCUGUUCCAUCAGUUUCUUUUCUACCUCUGUAAAGCAGCCACAAAAAACAAUGACUAAUUUCUCUGUGGAAUAUUCAUCUUUAAAAAGCCAGACCUGGGGCUUUGGUGCCUGUGGAGCCUUCCAGCUCCUCAGGUUGGAAAAAUUUAUUCUCUGAAAGAAUGGUAAUGUUUUGGAACUGCCCAGGGAGUGUUGGAGUCCUCAUCCCUGGAGGUGUUCCAGAGCCAUGGAGAUGUGGCACUGAGUUUUGAGAGUGCCUGGCUUGUAGACCCAGCUGGGAAAGGAUCUAAAUGGGGAGCACAUGGAGAGCUGUCCUGGAUGAGGUCAAGCAUAGCAGUGCCCAGGAUUCCUGCCUGUAUCCAGUGCUCUCUGAUGUGGGGCUGCUACCUGUGCCACCUACCUGCGCUGUGACUUGGCUUCCCAUCCUACAGAAGGGGAGGUAACAGUGGGGGUCUGUGGGUUCCAGCAUCUCACACAGCUGUUUCCUAGGCAGGCACUGUGGGAUAUGGAAAGGGGGGAGGGUUUGCCUGGGAAGGAAGGGGCCAUGACACUGCCAGGAAUAGCACCCAGGCGUCCCGUGACCUCAGCUCUCCUGCACAAAAACCCGAUAAGGUUCCUGGGCACUGAGCAGCCGUAGGAGAGCACUGCAAAGACUGCUGUCUGCGCUGCCUCUGAGGAUGAGCCAAGUACCUAAUAGGAGCUGAUGAGCAGAAUGGCACUGAACCUGACUCAGCUCCAACGUUAGCCUCCAUUCACCCUCUGCUGUCGCUAUGGGGAGAUGUGCUGUCCCACACUUCCUAAGCGCGUCUCACGCUUUCUCUGCAGCCUUCUCAGUUUCUCGGGUGCAAAACCCAAGCUUUGGACAACGGCAGAAGCAGUCAAUUAUGUUCUCACUCUGUCUGCUUUGGAAGUCCUGGAGUGUGCUGGUGUGACCACAGCCGUAGGAGCGGGGCGGUUCGGGAUAAAUCAGAAACAAAAGGGCCAUUAUCCAUAUGGGACCCCAUGAGCGCACCGCAUACCCCAGCAAUCCCGAGCACUCUGUGUACGGUUCUCGCUUGGUUUUAACUCAAUUUCUUUGAGAUGCAAAUUAGAGGGAUUAUAUUCAGAGGCUACAUCAGAAAGUCUUUAAUCCAAAUGGGCUAUAAGAUUUAUUUGGAAGAGCCAAAUGUCUUGUCUGGGACAGAAGCAACCGAGCUGAACUGAAACAGAUGGACAUAAAGGAAAUUAAGCAACUCUAAUGGUCUUAUCCAGAGUUUCAAAGUAUUUGGUCUUCGGAAAGCUCCAGCUCCUGGAAGCACGUGAUGAGACGGGGAGCUCAAGUUUCAUUUCAAAACAGGCUUUGCAGUUCACUGAGAAAGACAAUAAUAAUGUUUUUAUUCCUCCUGUGUACGGAGGGAAGGCUGCCUUCCAAACCCCGGCUCCUCAGCUCAGCUCAUGACGUCAGAUGGAAGCGUAUUGCACAACGUUUGCAUUCCUCGUCUUCAUCACAGUGUGGUUAUUUCUGUGGGCUGGAUUUGGGAUUUUGGAAGGCUGAUGGUUCUUGGGGUGCCGGGAGGUGGUCCUCCUCAUCUCUGCAAGGGGAAAGCAUCUGCAGCCUGAGCAGUGAGCAGCAGCAGCCCUCCUGCUUGCAGCUGCACCAUGCCCUGCUUGGCUCAGUGCUGAGUACCCGGAGCAGAGGAGCUUCACGUGUCUGCACGUUUGCCAUCCUUCACCCCAGUGCUUUUGGAUUCGGAUUAAAUAAAAGGGGAUGCGUGGUGGUUGGGGCAUUGGCAUCAACCUAUGGAACAGCCGUUGCGGUGCAGGGCUUGGGAAGGAAGCCACCACCUCCUUCAGCUCCUCCCAUUGAUCUGGACUGGGGAAGGCUCAGCUCCCACCCUGUGCUCGGUGUCCCAGUCCCACAGUGACCAUCCUCAGACCCAGCGCCGUCACCAGGAGCGGAGCAUUGCCCUUCACACACCAUUAUUCCUCACUCCCCAGAGCCUUUUUGUCUCUUAUCAGCAGUGACCCCCGGGCUCUGUUAUCUCCCCCCAGCCAUCCACCCAAGCCAUAGAGCUGUCAGCGUGGGGAAUGACCUUCACCUCCUCGCUCACCUCCAGGAGAUGCUGUGUCCGCUCGGCCGGCUGCGUGGUUGGCUGCAGCAGCACUGCCUGCUGCCCGGAGCCAGGUAAUUACAGCACCCGUUACGGUUCAGCAGGCACCUUCAUUAAUAAACCUCAAGUUUCCGAGGUGCCUAACUCAGCCAUUGGAAACCACAUCUGGCUGUAACUCUACGGCGUGUCUAAGCUUUCAGCUCAUCUCCGACUGCCUAAGCGGUUUACAGGAUGGGCUGUAAACAAAGUCUGUUUUGUUGGGGUUUUGCAUGCUUUGAGGAAAAGAAAGCAAACACGUCCACUGGGCUCAUCUCGUCGGCGCAGAGCUGGGGGCUGACAGCUCCUUCUCACGUUAUCCCAAUGGGAUUUUUUGCUUCUGAUAUAGCCCAAAUAAUGAACGUAUGGAGUCCUCCCAUGCACGCAUAGUCUGGUGCUUGGCGCUGGGCAGGAUCCUUGCUGCCAAGUGACAUCUGCAUGCAAGGCGAAGUGUGGAGGUUAACUUCUGGAACCACUGGGCAGUCCCAGCCUUUUUAGGAUAGAACCUCUAUAAAUACUAUUUCCUGAUAUUUCCCAUAGGCAAAUGGGAGCUGAAGAGCUACAACAGGAGCCUCUGCAGCCCACAUGCCAGCAGCAGAUCUGUUUUCUGACUGACCCAACAGCAGGGCCCUUCUUGGGACUGGCUAAACGUGGUUACUGAUGCCUACUAAGUAGCUUCUUCCAUGUGCUUGGGUGAAUAAAUUACCCUACAGCUUCCAUCAUCUCGAAGGGCUUGAGCGCAUCCUCUGGCACAAGGCUGGCUUGCAGGAGGAGCAGCCACCAAUGGGAAGGAUGGAGUUAAAUUCCAUAGAGGUGUACAGAGCGGAGAUGGGGUAAGGAGAUGGGUCGGGCAUCAAAGAGAGUGGGCAGGCAAUGUGCAGCUGUAACCAUCCCCACCCAUCGGCAAAACACCCCCUCUAGUAACCCACCAGAGCUCAAAGGCAAGCGAGUGCACGUCUGCGUGGGGGAGCUCCGGGGUGUGCAGCUGGGAGGGAGGAAUGGGCUGCUGGGGGGGCUGGACUGCUGGGCUGGGCUGUGUCCCCAGCUCAGAGCCUCCCCUGGCUGUGGGACAGAGGUUUGUGGUGUUUGGGAAGCAGGAUUUUGGUGCAGGGGACAUCCAGACUCUUGGGUACCAUCCUGCUGAAGGGCACCAGUGUGCCUGCAGCCCUUUAUUCUAGCACCAGGUGCUGGGGAUGCAAUGGGCUUGGACACCUUCGGGGCCAAUGCUCACCAUGACAUUGGGUAUGGGCUGCCAACCUGAAAGUGAGCAGGGCUCUGUAGGAAAGGCAGAAAUUUCUGCUCUGCAUCCCCGUCACAGAGCAGGUGGGGGCCACCUGUGUGUUUCCCAGGUGCUUUUCCACCCUGGGGAGUUGGAGAGGAGGUGGCAGCGUUGUCUGUGGGUUGUUGCUGAACUCGCUCAUGGAUUGCUAAUGAUGUUUGUGAAAGCCUUGAACGAAGACCACACAUGGGAGGCUCAGGCGAGUGAUGUACCUUAGACCUGGAGGGUGCGAGGGAAAAAUGCUUCUGUGCCUGACUCACCGGCUCUGUGCUAACACUGACUCAUAAGUACUGAUUUUGAUUCAGGAAAAAAAAAAAAGAAAAGAUUUAUCUGCAUUCAGACCUAUGGAAGAGGCCAAUGCAACCCGCUAAUGAAGAGGGGAGGUGGUGCUGCUGCGCUGUCCACAGCCCCAUGUGAGGCGUGGGGAGAGCAUGGCAGAUUGGCACUGGGGGCUGUGAUGAGCCCUGGAGAUGGGGAGGGUCCGGUGACCCCCAACCCUGCACAGAGUUGGAUGAGGGAGGGAGAUUUCCUUGGGCCGCAUGGGUACCUCUGGCUCAUUUUCCCAUGGCUUGGCACAGGCAGGCAGCUCUGCAGAUGAAGAUGUCUCACGAGCAGCACGUCGGACCUGAACGCGUGUUUGUGUGGUUCCCCUGCCACCAGCACAACGGGAGCUACACGGCGGCCAGCCAUGCAGAGCCAACAAGAAAAGCCUGCUGAAGAAAGGCACCGGCGCUGACAAUACCCGUUUGCAGGACGGAUUAAGCUUAGAGCAGUGUCUGGGCUUUGUGAAGGGGCAGCUCUGAGCUCCGUGCACGCAGCGUGGUGGCAGGAGGCUACAAAAGCUGGGAUCCCACACAGCCCUAUUGCCAAGCAGUGCUAACCCGGCCCGUGCGAGGCUCAGUCCCCAUCACUGCCAGGACCUGCCACCUCCUGCCCUGCCCUGCCCUCUCCCGGUGCCCUGCCUGUGCCACUUUGCCCCCCUGCUGCUCAACCCUGCUGGAUGCUAAGUGGAAAUCCCCCCCCCCCCCCCCCCCCCCAUGCCAAGUGUUAAAUACUUAUCAAGCUAAUACAGCGUCUUUGUGGAGGUGCGUACAUGAGACAACAUGUUACCAUAAUUAACGAGCAGCUGGAGUUGGCAUCGCGCUGCAGAUGCUGGCGGCGGCUCCCAGCGCCUUUCCCAGGGCUGCAGCUCUGCCCUUCCCCAAUAGUAGGAAAGUGCUGAGUGGGGGGAAUGCCUUGUAGGUCUCUUCCCACCUCGCAGGGGGUGGUGGCGGCUUCCAGCCCGGGGUCUGCAGAGCCGUGGAGGUCUGGGACUGUUUCUGGGUUGGGCAAAUGGGUCUGUUGCCAGCAGGCAAAUGCUUAUACGGGAGGUGAGGAGCUGUUGUGGGGGGCACUGGGUUGGGAGCUGUAAGGAAUCCUGCUGCUGGAGACUCUGGGAGUGAUGGCUUGUCCCUGUGCCAUUGAUGUGGGUGUGGAAUCGCAAGGGCUGGGGCAGCGAUGGCCAGGUGGCACUGGGAUGUGUGUGAUGGGUGUCAGGGACCAAUGGUGGCACCAGUGGUGGAGAAAGCUUGGGAGGAGGGGAGAGGGGCUGGGAUGGGGCUGUGAGCGCAGCCCUGGGGAGGAAGGUGGCAGAGCGGGGUGGUUGGUGGUCAUUUACUUGGUCAGACCUUUUGAGAUGAUGUGGAUCCAUCCCUCUGCUCAGCCCUAAGCAGAGCAGCUGCACAACCCCCCCAUCCUUUUGAAUUGCCUUGAGCUCCCUAACUUUCCAGCCCUGGAGAAGUCAUUGCAGCAGUUGAUGUUUGUAUCAUGACCUACGUUGCUAUUGGGUUUUAAAUAGAUAUAUUUUUACUGUGCUGUAUGCUAGCUUCCCACAUGCAAAUUGCUCUGAGUGAGCCAUUUAUCUGGAAAAUAAAGGUUAUGUUCUCAAAAGGCA
RNAcentral lists this long non-coding RNA (6688 nucleotides) under Gallus gallus (chicken). RNAcentral describes it as "lncRNA (ENSGALG00010029109.1)". The record is from RNAcentral. Lineage: Eukaryota; Metazoa; Chordata; Aves; Galliformes; Phasianidae.